RNAcentral lists this ribosomal RNA (253 nucleotides) under uncultured bacterium. Its description in RNAcentral is "partial 16S ribosomal RNA". It matches the Rfam family "Bacterial small subunit ribosomal RNA", at positions 524 to 776 of the family's 1533-position model. The record is from RNAcentral.
UACGUAGGGUGCGAGCGUUGUCCGGAAUUACUGGGCGUAAAGAGCUCGUAGGUGGUUUGUCGCGUUGUUCGUGAAAACCUGAGGCUUAACCUUGGGCGUGCGGGCGAUACGGGCAGACUGGAGUACUGCAGGGGAGACUGGAAUUCCUGGUGUAGCGGUGGAAUGCGCAGAUAUCAGGAGGAACACCGAUGGCGAAGGCAGGUCACUGGGCCGCAACUGACGCUGAGGAGCGAAAGCAUGGGGAGCGAACAGG